GGUAAGUGCAAGGGGGGACGGCAGAGGUGUUGUAUCUGGGCCACAAGGUGGGGAGCGGCUGCCCAAGCCCAGAGCUGGCCAAGGCCAAGAUGGGUGCUCUUAACCAAGA
Molecule: non-coding RNA, 109 nt
Organism: Chelonoidis abingdonii (Abingdon island giant tortoise)
Lineage: Eukaryota; Metazoa; Chordata; Testudines; Testudinidae
Source: RefSeq, a predicted model, not a curated record